ACGGAAGGCGCAGUGGGGAAUAUUGGGCAAUGGGCGCAAGCCUGACCCAGCGACGCCGCGUGAGGGAAGAAGGUCUUCGGAUUGUAAACCUCUUUCAGCAGGGAAGACCAAGAGACGGUACCUGCAGAAGAAGUCACGGCUAACUACGUGCCAGCAGCCGCGGUAAUACGUAGGUGGCGAGCGUUAUCCGGAAUUACUGGGUGUAAAGGGUGUGUAGGCGGAGAGGCAAGUCAGGCGUGAAAUACGUGGGCUCAACCCACGAACUGCGCUUGAAACUGUUUCCCUUGAGAGUGGGAGAGGUAAACGGAAUUCCUGGUGUAGUAGUGAAAUGCGUAGAUAUCAGGAGGAACACCGGUGGCGAAGGCGGUUUACUGGACCACAACUGACGCUGAGACACGAAAGCGUGGGGAGCAAACAGGAUUAGAUACCCUGGUA
RNAcentral lists this ribosomal RNA (435 nucleotides) under uncultured Oscillospiraceae bacterium. RNAcentral's name for it is "bacterial SSU rRNA". It matches the Rfam family "Bacterial small subunit ribosomal RNA", at positions 341 to 792 of the family's 1533-position model. Lineage: Bacteria; Bacillati; Bacillota; Clostridia; Eubacteriales; Oscillospiraceae. The record is from RNAcentral.